CCUACGGGAGGCAGCAGUGAGGAAUAUUGGUCAAUGGACGAGAGUCUGAACCAGCCAAGUAGCGUGAAGGAUGACUGCCCUAUGGGUUGUAAACUUCUUUUAUAUGGGAAUAAAAUGUUCCACGUGUGGGAGUUUGUAUGUAACAAAUGAAUAAGGAUCGGCUAACUCCGUGCCAGCAGCCGCGGUAAUACGGAGGAUCCGAGCGUUAGCCGGAUUUAUUGGGUUUAAAGGGGGCGUAGGUGGAUUUUUAAGUUAGUUGUGAAAGUUGUCGGAUCAACCGUAAAAUUGCAGUUGAAACUGGCAGUCUUGAGUACAGUAGAGGUGGGCGGAAUUCGUGGUGUAGCGGUGAAAUGCUUAGAUAUCACGAAGAACUCCGAUUGCGAAGGCAGCUCACUGGACUGCAACUGACACUGAGGCUCGAAAGUGUGGGUAUCAAACAGGAUUAGAUACCCCAGUAGUC
This 460-nucleotide ribosomal RNA is filed under the name uncultured bacterium. RNAcentral describes it as "partial 16S ribosomal RNA". It matches the Rfam family "Bacterial small subunit ribosomal RNA", at positions 338 to 795 of the family's 1533-position model. The record is from RNAcentral.